UACGUAGGGUGCGAGCGUUGUCCGGAAUUACUGGGCGUAAAGAGCUCGUAGGUGGUUUGUCGCGUUGUUCGUGAAAUCUCACGGCUUAAUUGUGAGCGUGCGGGCGAUACGGGCAGACUAGAGUACUGCAGGGGAGACUGGAAUUCCUGGUGUAGCGGUGGAAUGCGCAGAUAUCAGGAGGAACACCGGUGGCGAAGGCGGGUCUCUGGGCAGUAACUGACGCUGAGGAGCGAAAGCGUGGGGAGCGAACAGG
RNAcentral lists this ribosomal RNA (253 nucleotides) under uncultured bacterium. RNAcentral describes it as "partial 16S ribosomal RNA". It matches the Rfam family "Bacterial small subunit ribosomal RNA", at positions 524 to 776 of the family's 1533-position model. The record is from RNAcentral.